RNAcentral lists this ribosomal RNA (1302 nucleotides) under Triticum aestivum (bread wheat). RNAcentral describes it as "partial small subunit ribosomal RNA". The record is from RNAcentral. Lineage: Eukaryota; Viridiplantae; Streptophyta; Magnoliopsida; Poales; Poaceae.
AUGGGCGUCCUCGCGCGCGCCGUGCUGCUGGCCGUAGUCGCCGCGCUGUGGUGCCGUGCCUCGGGCUCGGAGGCGGGCGGCGCCGACGUGCUGAGUCGGGCGAAGCGGCCCGAGUUCGCGGCGUGGAUGGCCGGCGUCAGGAGGGCCAUCCACGAGCGGCCCGAGCUGGCGUUCGAGGAGCACGAGACGAGCAGGCUGGUGAGGAGGGAGCUGGACGCCAUGGGCGUGCGGUACGAGCACCCAAUCGCCGGCACCGGCGUCGUGGCGGCCGUUGGCACCGGGCGCCCGCCCUUCGUCGCGCUGCGCGCCGACAUGGACGCGCUCCCGCUGCAGGAGGAAGUGGAGUGGGAGCACCGGAGCAAGGUGGGCGGGAAGAUGCACGCCUGCGGCCACGACGCGCACACGGCGAUGCUGCUCGGCGCCGCCAGGAUCCUCCACGAGCACCGCCACGUCCUGCAGGGGACGGUGAUCCUUCUUUUCCAGCCGGCAGAGGAGGUGGGCACCGGGGCCAAGAAGAUGGUGGAGGCUGGCGUCGUGAACAACGUCGAGGCCAUCUUCGGGUUCCACGUCACGGUGAUCCUCCCCACCGGCGUGGUUGGGUCGAGGGCCGGCCCGCUGCUAGCCGGAUGCGGCUUCUUCGAGGCGGUGAUCACCGGGAAGGGCGGCCACGCCGCCAUCCCCCAGAGCAGCGUGGACCCCGUCGUGGCCGCCUCCAGCGUCGUCCUCGCCCUCCAGAACCUCGUCUCCCGGGAGGCCGACCCCCUGGACUCCCAGGUCGUGACGGUAACGAGGUUCCGGGGAGGCGGCGCGUUCAACGUGAUCCCGGACUCCGUCACGAUCGGCGGCACUUUCCGGUGCUUCUCCAACGACGGGUUCAUGCGGCUGAAGCAGCGGAUCGAGGAGGUGAUCGUGGCGCAGUCGGCGGUGCACCGGUGCGCGGCGGCGGUGGACUUCCACGCCGGCGGGCGGCCCCUGCUGGCCCCGACCAUCAACAGCCCCGCUCUGCACGCGCACUUCGAGGCCGUCGCCACGGACAUGCUCGGCGCCGGCGGCGUCCGGGGCGCCAUGGAGCCGUGCAUGGGGAGCGAGGACUUCGCCGCCUUCUCCGAGGCCGUGCCGGGCUCCCACUUCUACUUCAUCGGGAUACGGAACGAGGCGGCCGGGUCGGUGCACGACGCGCACUCGCCGCACUUCCUCGUCGACGAAGGCGCGCUCCCCUACGGCGCGGCAAUGCACGCCAGCCUCGCCAUGGCGUACCUGCAGCGCCAGCACGGGCGCGUGGACUCGCACGAGGAGCUGUAG